AUCUGCCUCAGUCACACCGCCGUUCCUCUCUCACUCCUUCACGCCUCUCAACAUCUCACAUCCAUCUUGGUCUAUCUCUUCCAUCUUCACCUCUGCCUCUCAACAUCUCAAAUGGGCGACACCGCCUGUGGUGGUGGAGAUGGCCAACGUCGCCGGCCUGCCUGAAGGACGACGACGACGACAGCGCGACGGUGCUUAUGGACGACGAUAUAGAUCUGGAUCCGCAUCAGAUUGAAGAGACCGCAUCCUUGUCCAGACCCUCGUCCUUAGAGAUAGUUCCGGGUUGUUUGGUUCUUGAAUCGGGAAGACGGCACAGCGGUGCUUAUUGACGACGUCGCCCACCUCCCUCUUCCAAUCUAUCGUCCGACGGCCCCGACGAUACAGAUCUGGAAUCGCAUCAGAUGGAAGAUACCGCAUCCUCGUCCAUAGAGAUAGUUCCGGGAUGUUUGGUUCUCUCGCAAAUCGGGAACGGGUAGCGCGUCCCUCACCACUUCCCUCGCUAGGGCUGUUGCUCCGACCAGAGGACUGCCUCCGCUAGAUUUGAUUGUCCAGAUUUGUUAGAUCUUUGAUGCUUAGUCCAGAAAGUUCUUUUCCCAAAAGCUGCCUGCAUUUAUGUGAAACAAAGAACUGUAUGAUUGCAGUUCAGCUUAUAUAAAUCCAAUUGGAAGUAUCAGUAUGAUGGAUCUUCGAGCAUUUCUGAAAUGGGCAGCCAUUCAUCUUGGUUACUCAACCUUGGCAGAAAUUGAAGCCACGCUGAAUUGGAGCCUAUACGAUGCAACUAUAGCCAGGUCUUAGUUUUGGCACACUAGUUCAUUGAUUGUUGUUUAGCCAUUCAUCUUAGUUCAUUGAUUUUUUUUUUUUAGCCACUCAUCUUAGUUCAUUGAUUGUUUUUUAGCCAUGUCUUAGCUUUCAGUUUGGAACUGCAAAUCUGUAAUUCAUUGAUUGUUUUUUAGCUUGAAGUAUUGUAAUUUUUUAAUGUUUGUAUGAGAAUUGA
Ipomoea nil (Japanese morning glory) is the source of this 994-nucleotide long non-coding RNA. RefSeq lists it as uncharacterized. The record is from RefSeq and is a predicted model, not a curated record. Lineage: Eukaryota; Viridiplantae; Streptophyta; Magnoliopsida; Solanales; Convolvulaceae. The transcript is spliced from 3 exons.